CCUACGGGUGGCUGCAGUGGGGGAUAUUGCACAAUGGGGGAAACCCUGAUGCAGCGACGCCGCGUGGGUGAAGAAGCGCCUCGGCGCGUAAAGCCCUGUCAGCAGGGGAGAAAAUGACGGUACCUGAAGAAGAAGCCCCGGCGAACUACGGGCCAGCUGCCGCGGUAAUACGGAGGGGGCAAGCGUUAUCCGGAUUUACUGGGGGUAAAGGGGGGGCAGACGGCGAUGCAAGUCAGGAGUGAAAGCCCGGGGCCCAACCCCGGGACUGCCCUUGGAACUGCGUGGCUAGAGUGCAGGAGGGGCAGGCGGAAUGCCUGGUGUAGCGGUGAAAUGCGUAGAUAUCAGGAGGAACACCGGUGGCGAAGGCGGCCUGCUGGACUGCAACUGACGUUGAGGCCCGAAAGCGUGGGGAGCAAACAGGAUUAGAUACCCCUGUAGUC
RNAcentral lists this ribosomal RNA (440 nucleotides) under uncultured bacterium. Its description in RNAcentral is "partial 16S ribosomal RNA". It matches the Rfam family "Bacterial small subunit ribosomal RNA", at positions 338 to 795 of the family's 1533-position model. The record is from RNAcentral.